CUCAAAGAUUAAGCCAUGCAAGUGGUUAUUUAACCCGACAGUUUAAAUAAGUGUUAUAUACUAAUUCUUCAUACAAUUACACACGUAGUUUGAAUUAACAUCAACAAUUCUCACUUACGCAACUGCAGACAGCUGCUUAAUACAGUCACACUUGUCCUGACUUGGCGCAAUUCUUAAUCUGUGUUUCAAUUUAUUAUCUUUUGCACACGCCUCGCGCGCGCUGCAUAUAGUGUUAAUUUGUCGCACAAUUAGAAUUAACAAUACAACCAUAUAUUUGGUUUAUAUGUGAUUUCUCACUUGAGCAGAGCUAUUCGUAGCUCGCUUAUCUUAAUAUUCAAUUAUGGAUAACUCAGGGAAAGUUUGGCUAAUACGUACGAGUCACAAUUUAAUAACAACCAUUAUAUAUAAUUUCCUCAGCACUCAAUGGUAAACUUAUGAGCUUUGCGUACUUCUGUCUUCGGACGAUGCGCUCUCAUUCUUCGUUUAACUGCAACAUGAGAGACAUUGAGCACGCCGUCUUUUGGUCCUUCRUGACUGAUUGACAACACGCUGAGCAGACUUUGAGAUUCUUUAAUUUCGAAGCAUGUCUUACAAGCAUCUACAGCAUCAAGUCACAGGGUUGGCAAGUGUAUUAUUGAACCUUCAAAGCAGUCACGCAUACGGAAGAGUAGUUUCUGAUCCCAUAGAAGGAGCACCGUACAAUGAGAGACCGCUCUUAGUUCUAAGGAACGCAGCAGGCGCGUAAAUUGCCCAAUGCUAGUACCCUACUAUUGCAUUACAUUACGCAGACAACUAAUAAUGUUGACUAAUUAAUAAUAAACACACGUUUAACUAUCUGUCACAAUACAUACUAUUUAACCUUGUCUACAAACUGUAAUACUCUUUAAUUUCAUUUACUGAGGCAGUGACAAGCUGUAACGGUUGAGUAUAAUAAUGACGAGUGUCUGGCAUUGCCGCUGCCUUCGGGUAAGCUUGGCAAUUUUGCCGACGCUUUGUGUGCUCAAUUGGAAUGCGGUGAGUUUAAGCAUCUCAGAACCUUUGGAUGGUAGUUCGUUUCGUUCUACUCUCUGAGUAUCUGAAUCUUCAAGUGGAGGGCAAGUCUGGUGC
RNAcentral lists this ribosomal RNA (1107 nucleotides) under Planorbulina mediterranensis. RNAcentral describes it as "SSU rRNA". It matches the Rfam family "Eukaryotic small subunit ribosomal RNA", at positions 36 to 569 of the family's 1831-position model. The record is from RNAcentral. Lineage: Eukaryota; Foraminifera; Rotaliida; Planorbulinidae.